Molecule: ribosomal RNA, 482 nt
Filed under: uncultured bacterium
Lineage: Bacteria
Description: partial 16S ribosomal RNA
Rfam family: Bacterial small subunit ribosomal RNA
Source: RNAcentral
AUUGAACGCUGGCGGCAUGUUUUACACAUGCAAGUCGAACGGUAACAGCACUUCGGUGGCUGACGAGUGGCGAACGGGUGAGUAAUACAUCGGAACGUGCCUAGUAGUGGGGGAUAACUACUCGAAAGAGUAGCUAAUACCGCAUGAGAUCUAAGGAUGAAAGCAGGGGACCUUCGGGCCUUGCGCUACUAGAGCGGCUGAUGGCAGAUUAGGUAGUUGGUGGGAUAAAAGCUUACCAAGCCGACGAUCUGUAGCUGGUCUGAGAGGACGACCAGCCACACUGGGACUGAGACACGGCCCAGACUCCUACGGGAGGCAGCAGUGGGGAAUUUUGGACAAUGGGCGCAAGCCUGAUCCAGCAAUGCCGCGUGCAGGAUGAAGGCCUUCGGGUUGUAAACUGCUUUUGUACGGAACGAAAAGCCCUCUUCUAAUACAGGAGGGUCAUGACGGUACCGAAAGAAUAAGCACCGGCUAACUACGUG